UACAGAGGGGGCGAGCGUUGUUCGGAAUUACUGGGCGUAAAGGGCGCGUAGGCGGCCCGCUAAGUCGAACGUGAAAUCCCCAGGCUUAACCUGGGAACUGCGUCCGAUACUGGCAGGCUUGAAUCCGGGAGAGGGAUGUGGAAUUCCAGGUGUAGCGGUGAAAUGCGUAGAUAUCUGGAGGAACACCGGUGGCGAAGGCGGCGACCUGGUCCUUGACUGACGCUGAGGCGCGAAAGCGUGGGGAGCAAACAGG
RNAcentral lists this ribosomal RNA (253 nucleotides) under uncultured bacterium. RNAcentral describes it as "partial 16S ribosomal RNA". It matches the Rfam family "Bacterial small subunit ribosomal RNA", at positions 524 to 776 of the family's 1533-position model. The record is from RNAcentral.